RNAcentral lists this ribosomal RNA (207 nucleotides) under uncultured bacterium. Its description in RNAcentral is "partial 16S ribosomal RNA". It matches the Rfam family "Bacterial small subunit ribosomal RNA", at positions 568 to 774 of the family's 1533-position model. The record is from RNAcentral.
UCCGUAGGCGGUUUUAUUAGUCUGUGGUCAAAUCCCAGGGCUCAACCCUGGAAUCGUCACGGAAACUGUAAAACUUGAGGUGUGCAGGGGCAGAUGGAAUUCCAGAAGUAGGGGUAAAAUCCGUAGAUCUCUGGAGGAACACCAAACGCGAAGGCAUUCUGCUGGGCACUACCUGACGCUGAGGGACGAAAGCGUGGGGAGCAAACG